Molecule: ribosomal RNA, 261 nt
Filed under: uncultured bacterium
Lineage: Bacteria
Description: partial 16S ribosomal RNA
Rfam family: Bacterial small subunit ribosomal RNA
Source: RNAcentral
GUCCACGCUGUAAACGUUGGGAACUAGGUGUGGGGCCUGUCAUGGGUUCUGCGCCGGCGCUAACGCAUUAAGUUCCCCGCCUGGGGAGUACGGCCGCAAGGCUAAAACUCAAAGGAAUUGACGGGGGCCCGCACAAGCGGCGGAGCAUGCGGAUUAAUUCGAGGCAACGCGAAGAACCUUACCAAGGCUUGACAUACACCGGAAGCCGCCAGAGAUGGUGGUCUCUUUGAUACUGGUGUACAGGUGGUGCAUGGUUGUCGU